This is a non-coding RNA of Peromyscus maniculatus bairdii (prairie deer mouse), 470 nucleotides long. Lineage: Eukaryota; Metazoa; Chordata; Mammalia; Rodentia; Cricetidae. The record is from RefSeq and is a predicted model, not a curated record.
ACAAGCUCUUGACUUAGUCCUUUAUUUAAACAAUUACAUUUCCUAAAUCUUCCCUUGUGCUAAGCAUGGUCCCCAAGAAACAUACCUCUGAAAGGGAGGAAGAAGAUAUAGUCUCAUUCUUCAAAAGACAAGUAUCCAAGCCAGCUGUACUUCCAGCCCAAGAAUGGGAGAGCAGCCUCCUAUUGCCAUGUUGUGAUGUUACCUUCUAUCAUCCACUUACUGUGAUUUAGAAUUCAAACCCAAGUUCUCCUUGAUGUGUGAUACUGUGGUCAGAAGACCUUGGAGGCACCACAAGGUCCCAACACCAGAGAUCAACACUGGCUUCACAUUUCACGACAUCAGCAAAUUAAAUCCACAAACAACAGGUAUUUUGCCACAGUAAUGAAAAAAGUAACUAAUACAGAUACACACUGAUGAAUACCAUAUGUGUAAGCCUUAAUUCAAAGAUUCAUUAAAUCUUUAUAAACAGC